UACCUGGUUGAUCCUGCCAGUAAUCAUAUGCUUGUCUCAAAGAUUAAGCCAUGCAUGUCUAAGUACAUGCCGAAAUAAGGCGAAACCGCGAAUGGCUCAUUAAAUCAGUUAUGGUUCCUUAGAUCGUUUCUUCCUACUUGGAUAACUGUGGCAAUUCUAGAGCUAAUACAUGCAGUGAGCCUGAAGCCCUUUGGGCGACGGGUGCUUUUAUUAGACCAAGAUCGAUCGGGUUUCGGCCCGUAUUGUGUGGUGACUCUGGAUAACUUUGUGCUGAUCGCAUGGCCACGAGCCGGCGACGUUUCUUUCAAGUGUCUGCCUUAUCAAGUUUCGAUGGUAGGUUACUUGCUUAUCAUGGUUGUUACGGGUAACGGAGAAUCAGGGUUCGAUUCCGGAGAGGGAGCCUGAGAAACGGCUACCACAUCCAAGGAAGGCAGCAGGCGCGCAAAUUACCCACUCCCGGCACGGGGAGGUAGUGACGAAAAAUAACAAUACGGGACUCUUUUGAGGCCCCGUAAUUGAAAUGAGUACACUCUAAAUCCUUUAACGAGGAUCAAUUGGAGGGCAAGUCUGGUGCCAGCAGCCGCGGUAAUUCCAGCUCCAAUAGCGUAUACUAAAGCUGCUGCGGUUAAAAAGCUCGUAGUUGGAUCUCAGUUCCAGACGAGUAGUGCAUCUACCCGAUGCGACGGCUCGGACUGAACAUCAUGCCGGUCCUUUCUUGGUGCACUUCAUUGUGUGCCUCGAGAAGGCCGGUGCUUUUACUUUGAAAAAAUUAGAGUGCUCAACGCAGGCGAGUCGCCUGAAUAAACUUGCAUGGAAUAAUAGAACAAGACCUCGUUUCUGUUCUGUUGGUUUUUGGAAUACGAGGUAAUGAUUAAGAGGGACAGACGGGGCAUUCGUAUUGCGGCGCUAGAGGUGAAAUUCUUGGACCGUCGCAAGACGAACUACUGCGAAAGCAUUUGCCAAGAAUGUUUUCUUUGAUCAAGAACGAAAGUCAGAGGUUCGAAGGCGAUCAGAUACCGCCCUAGUUCUGACCAUAAACGAUGCCAACCAGCGAUCCGCCUGAGUUACUCAAAUGACUCGGCGGGCAGCUUCCGGGAAACCAAAGUAUUUGGGUUCCGGGGGAAGUAUGGUUGCAAAGCUGAAACUUAAAGGAAUUGAUGGAAGGGCACCACCAGGAGUGGAGCCUGCGGCUUAAUUUGACUCAACACGGGAAAACUUACCCGGCCCGGACACUGGGAGGAUUGACAGAUUGAGAGCUCUUUCUUGAUUCGGUGGAUGGUGGUGCAUGGCCGUUCUUAGUUGGUGGAGCGAUUUGUCUGGCUAAUUCCGAUAACGAACGAGACUCUAGCCUAUUAAAUAGGUGCGGGGUUCCCAGCACCUUACAACCUUCUUAGAGGGACAAGCGGCUCCUAGCCGCACGAAACAGAGCAAUAACAGGUCUGUGAUGCCCUUAGAUGUCCGGGGCCGCACGCGCGCUACACUGAAGGAAGCAGCGUGUCUUUAUCCCUGUCUGAAAAGACUGGGUAACCCGUGGAACUUCUUUCGUGAUUGGGAUAGGGGGCUUGCAAAUUGUUCCCCUUGAACGAGGAAUUCCCAGUAAGCGCGAGUCAUAAGCUCGCGUUGAUUACGUCCCUGCCCUUUGUACACACCGCCCGUCGCUACUACCGAUUGAAUGAUUUAGUGAGGUCUUCGGACCGAUGUCCGGCGCGGCCUUUCGGUUGCUGCCGGUCUGUUGGAAAGAUGACCAACUUGAUCAUUAGAGGAAGUAAAAGUCGUAACAAGGUUUCUGUAGGUGAACCUGCGGAAGGAUCAUUA
RNAcentral lists this ribosomal RNA (1815 nucleotides) under Dermacentor silvarum. Its description in RNAcentral is "small subunit ribosomal RNA". It matches the Rfam family "Eukaryotic small subunit ribosomal RNA". Lineage: Eukaryota; Metazoa; Arthropoda; Arachnida; Ixodida; Ixodidae. The record is from RNAcentral.